UGGGGAAUAUUGCACAAUGGGCGCAAGCCUGAUGCAGCCAUGCCGCGUGUAUGAAGAAGGCCUUCGGGUUGUAAAGUACUUUCAGCGGGGAGGAAGGCGAUAAGGUUAAUAACCUUGUCGAUUGACGUUACCCGCAGAAGAAGCACCGGCUAACUCCGUGCCAGCAGCCGCGGUAAUACGGAGGGUGCAAGCGUUAAUCGGAAUUACUGGGCGUAAAGCGCACGCAGGCGGUCUGUCAAGUCGGAUGUGAAAUCCCCGGGCUCAACCUGGGAACUGCAUUCGAAACUGGCAGGCUAGAGUCUUGUAGAGGGGGGUAGAAUUCCAGGUGUAGCGGUGAAAUGCGUAGAGAUCUGGAGGAAUACCGGUGGCGAAGGCGGCCCCCUGGACAAAGACUGACGCUCAGGUGCGAAAGCGUCGGGAGCAAACA
RNAcentral lists this ribosomal RNA (427 nucleotides) under uncultured bacterium. RNAcentral describes it as "partial 16S ribosomal RNA". It matches the Rfam family "Bacterial small subunit ribosomal RNA", at positions 355 to 774 of the family's 1533-position model. The record is from RNAcentral.